Molecule: ribosomal RNA, 397 nt
Filed under: uncultured bacterium
Lineage: Bacteria
Description: partial 16S ribosomal RNA
Rfam family: Bacterial small subunit ribosomal RNA
Source: RNAcentral
AUACGUAGGAAGCGAGCGUUAUCCGGAAUUACUGGGCGUAAAGCGCGCGUAGGUGGUCUUUCAAGUCGAAUGUGAAAUUUCCCGGCUUAACCGGGAAGGGUCGUUCGAUACUGUUGGACUAGAGAGCGGCAGGGGGAAGCGGAAUUCCCGGUGUAGUAGUGAAAUGCGUAGAUAUCGGGAGGAGCACCAGUGGCGAAGGCGGCUUCCUGGGCUGUUUCUGACACUGAGGCGCGAAAGUGUGGGGAGCGAACAGAAUUAGAUACUCUGGUAGUCCACACUGUAAACGAUGGGUACUAGGUAUAGGGAGUAUCGACCCUCUUUGUGCCGAAGCUAACGCUUUAAGUACCCCGCCUGGGGACUACGGCCGCAAGGCUAAGACUCAAAGGAAUUGACGGGG